AGAGUUUGAUCCUGGCUCAGGAUGAACGCUAGCGGCAGGCCUAACACAUGCAAGUCGAACGGUAACAUGAGAGCUUGCUCUCGAUGACGAGUGGCGCACGGGUGCGUAACACGUAUGCAACCUACCUUCAACUGGGGGAUAGCCCGAAGAAAUUCGGAUUAAUACCCCAUAAUAAUAGAAAUUCGCAUGUUUUUCUAUUUAAAACUCCGGUGGUUGAAGAUGGGCAUGCGUCCUAUUAGUUAGUUGGUGAGGUAACGGCUCACCAAGACUCCGAUAGGUAGGGGUUCUGAGAGGAAGAUCCCCCACACUGGUACUGAGACACGGACCAGACUCCUACGGGAGGCAGCAGUGAGGAAUAUUGGACAAUGGACGAAAGUCUGAUCCAGCCAUGCCGCGUGUAGGAAGACUGCCCUCUGGGUUGUAAACUACUUUUAUAAGGGAAUAAACCCCCGUACGUGUACGGGGCUAAAUGUACCUUAAGAAUAAGCACCGGCUAACUCCGUGCCAGCAGCCGCGGUAAUACGGAGGGUGCAAGCGUUAUCCGGAUUUAUUGGGUUUAAAGGGUCCGUAGGUGGAAUUGUAAGUCAGUGGUGAAAUCUUUCGGCUUAACCGGAAACUGCCAUUGAUACUGCAGUUCUUGAGUAUGCUCGAGGUAGGCGGAAUAUGUCAUG
This 671-nucleotide ribosomal RNA is filed under the name uncultured bacterium. Its description in RNAcentral is "bacterial SSU rRNA". It matches the Rfam family "Bacterial small subunit ribosomal RNA", at positions 8 to 675 of the family's 1533-position model. The record is from RNAcentral.